GUGCCAGCAGCCGCGGUAAUACGUAGGUGGCAAGCGUUGUCCGGAUUUAUUGGGCGUAAAGCGAGCGCAGGCGGUUUCUUAAGUCUGAUGUGAAAGCCUUCGGCUCAACCGAAGAAGUGCAUCGGAAACUGGGAAACUUGAGUGCAGAAGAGGACAGUGGAACUCCAUGUGUAGCGGUGAAAUGCGUAGAUAUAUGGAAGAACACCAGUGGCGAAGGCGGCUGUCUGGUCUGUAACUGACGCUGAGGCUCGAAAGCAUGGGUAGCAAACAGGAUUAGAUACCCUGGUAGUCCAUGCCGUAAACGAUGAGUGCUAGGUGUUGGAGGGUUUCCGCCCUUCAGUGCCGCAGCUAACGCAUUAAGCACUCCGCCUGGGGAGUACGACCGCAAGGUUGAAACUCAAAGGAAUUGACGGGGGCCCGCACAAGCGGUGGAGCAUGUGGUUUAAUUCGAAGCAACGCGAAGAACCUUACCAGGUCUUGACAUCCUUUGACCACUCUAGAGAUAGAGCUUUCCCUUCGGGGACAAAGUGACAGGUGGUGCAUGGUUGUCGUCAGCUCGUGUCAUGAGAUGUUGGGUUAAGUCCCGCAACGAGCGCAACCCUUAUUACUAGUUGCCAGCAUUAGGUUGGGCACUCUAGUGAGACUGCCGGUGACAAACCGGAGGAAGGUGGGGACGACGUCAAAUCAUCAUGCCCCUUAUGACCUGGGCUACACACGUGCUACAAUGGAUGGUACAACGAGUUGCGAGACCGCGAGGUUUAGCUAAUCUCUUAAAACCAUUCUCAGUUCGGAUUGUAGGCUGCAACUCGCCUACAUGAAGCCGGAAUCGCUAGUAAUCGCGGAUCAGCAUGCCGCGGUGAAUACGUUCCCGGGCCUUGUACACACCGCCCGU
Molecule: ribosomal RNA, 892 nt
Filed under: uncultured bacterium
Lineage: Bacteria
Description: bacterial SSU rRNA
Rfam family: Bacterial small subunit ribosomal RNA
Source: RNAcentral